Small nucleolar RNA from Trifolium pratense (red clover), 97 nucleotides. RefSeq annotates it as small nucleolar RNA snoR109. The record is from RefSeq and is a predicted model, not a curated record. The transcript has a single exon. NCBI's taxonomy places the organism in Eukaryota, Viridiplantae, Streptophyta, Magnoliopsida, Fabales, Fabaceae.
UUGCUGUAGCCAAAUUAAAUUGAAGAAGUUUACUGGUUUUUGUGAGAUCCAUUUUGUGCCUCUGUCAACAAUUCUGCUUACCAAGCUUCUCACAUUU